GCAGUCGUGGCCGAGUGGUUAAGCGAUGGACUCGAAAUCUAUUGGGGUUUCCCUGCGUAGGUUUGAAUUCUAUCGUCUGCG
RNAcentral lists this transfer RNA (81 nucleotides) under Stegodyphus mimosarum. It matches the Rfam family "tRNA". Rfam says of the family: Transfer RNA (tRNA) molecules are approximately 80 nucleotides in length. The record is from Rfam by way of RNAcentral. Lineage: Eukaryota; Metazoa; Arthropoda; Arachnida; Araneae; Eresidae.